RNAcentral lists this ribosomal RNA (587 nucleotides) under uncultured bacterium. RNAcentral describes it as "partial 16S ribosomal RNA". It matches the Rfam family "Bacterial small subunit ribosomal RNA", at positions 355 to 1375 of the family's 1533-position model. The record is from RNAcentral.
UGGGGAAUAUUGGACAAUGGGCGCAAGCCUGAUCCAGCAAUGCCGCGUGUGUGAAGAAGGCCUUCGGGUUGUAAAGCACUUUUAUCAGGAGCGAAACGCUGUCGGCUAAUACCCGGCGGAACUGACGGUACCUGAGGAAUAAGCACCGGCUAACUUCGUGCCAGCAGCCGCGGUAAUACGAAGGGUGCAAGCGUUAAUCGGAAUUACUGGGCGUAAAGCGUGCGUAGGCGGUUUCUUAAGUCUGCUGUGAAAUCCCCGGGCUCAACCUGGGAAUGGCAGUGGAUACUGGGAGGCUAGAGUGUGUCAGAGGGUGGUGGAAUUCCCGGUGUAGCGGUGAAAUGCGUAGAGAUCGGGAGGAACAUCAGUGGCGAAGGCGGCCACCUGGGACAACACUGACGCUGAGGCACGAAAGCGUGGGGAGCAAACAGGAUUAGAUACCCUGGUAGUCCACGCCCUAAACGAUGCGAACUGGAUGUUGGUCUCAACUCGGAGAUCAGUGUCGAAGCUAACGCGUUAAGUUCGCCGCCUGGGGAGUACGGUCGCAAGACUGAAACUCAAAGGAAUUGACGGGGUCAUAGCUGUUUCCU